UUACUAGAGUAGCACUCGCAUAUCAAUAAGCGGAGGAAAAGAAACUAACAAGGAUUCCCCUAGUAACGGCGAGUGAAGCGGGAAGAGCUCAGAUUUGAAAUCUUAAAGGGUUUCCCUUUACGAAUUGUAGUUCAAAGAAGUGUUUUCUGUUGAGGUUUUGGUAAAAGUUCUUUGGAAUAGGACAUCAUAGAGGGUGAGAAUCCCGUAUUUGACCUUUACUUUCAACUUUGUGAUACACUUUCAAAGAGUCGGAUUGUUUGGGAAUGCAGUCCAAAAUGGGUGGUAAAUUUCAUCUAAAGCUAAAUAUUGGCGAGAGACCGAUAGCGAACAAGUACCGUGAGGGAAAGAUGAAAAGAACUUUGAAAAGAGAGUUAAACAGUACGUGAAAUUGUCAAAAGGGAAGCGUUUGACACCAGUGUUGUUUUUCUGAAAAUCAAUUAAAGAACUGUUUAUGCUAAGCUUGUUUAGACUUUAUCAGCGAUCUGUUUAGUUUUGAGCUUUUCUUUAAUGCACUUUUCAGUUAACAAGUCAACAUCAAUUUCUUUUGCUGUAAAAAAGCUUGAGGAAGGUGGCUUGAGAUUCGUCUUAAGUGUUUAUAGCCUCCUGCCUAUGCAGUCGGAGAGAUUGAGGUCUGCAGCGUAGAUCCUUCGGGGCUAAAUGCAUUUGUGCUAAGUUAUAGCAUUUUAUAGACAACUUGUUGACUAUGAUUUGUCUUGUAGCUUACUCGCUUAUGUUAUUUUACCUACGCUUAGGAUGUUGAGCGCAUGUCUCUCUCU
This 776-nucleotide ribosomal RNA is filed under the name uncultured Neocallimastigales. RNAcentral describes it as "partial large subunit ribosomal RNA". It matches the Rfam family "Eukaryotic large subunit ribosomal RNA", at positions 1 to 616 of the family's 3401-position model. The record is from RNAcentral. Lineage: Eukaryota; Fungi; Neocallimastigomycota; Neocallimastigomycetes; Neocallimastigales.